RNAcentral lists this ribosomal RNA (492 nucleotides) under uncultured bacterium. RNAcentral describes it as "partial 16S ribosomal RNA". It matches the Rfam family "Bacterial small subunit ribosomal RNA", at positions 29 to 507 of the family's 1533-position model. The record is from RNAcentral.
AGUGAACGCUGGCGGUAGGCCUAACACAUGCAAGUCGAACGGCAGCACAGUAAGAGCUUGCUCUUACGGGUGGCGAGUGGCGGACAGGUGAGGAAUACAUCGGAAUCUACUUUUUCGUGGGGGAUGACGUAGGGAAACUUACGCUAAUACCGCAUACGACCUACGGGUGAAAGCAGGGGAUCUUCGGACCUUGCGCGAUUGAAUGAGCCGAUGUCGGAUUAGCUAGUUGGCGGGGUAAAGGCCCACCAAGGCGACGAUCCGUAGCUGGUCUGAGAGGAUGAUCAGCCACACUGGAACUGAGACACGGUCCAGACUCCUACGGGAGGCAGCAGUGGGGAAUAUUGGACAAUGGGCGCAAGCCUGAUCCAGCCAUACCGCGUGGGUGAAGAAGGCCUUCGGGUUGUAAAGCCCUUUUGUUGGGAAAGAAAAGCAGCAGGUUAAUACCCCGCUGUUCUGACGGUACCCAAAGAAUAAGCACCGGCUAACUUCGUG